RNAcentral lists this long non-coding RNA (251 nucleotides) under Elaeis guineensis (African oil palm). RNAcentral describes it as "long non-coding RNA (EGUI_LNC043027)". The record is from RNAcentral. Lineage: Eukaryota; Viridiplantae; Streptophyta; Magnoliopsida; Arecales; Arecaceae.
AAGGUUCGGUGACUGAUGGCAAUAAAAUGGUGCUGGACGAUCAAGAACAAGGCAUGAAAAAAGAGGGAAAACUAAAAAUUUGAUUUUUUUGGGAAUUUUUUUAGCAAUUGUUCAUCUUGAAUUCAUGAUUCUAAGACUUAGAAGGAUGUGGAGGAAGAUUAGAUUACAAGUUAAGAGAUUAUUAUCUUAUUUUUUGUUGGAUUUUGAUGCCUCGAAUUCGACCCAUAGCAGUUCAAGACAGAGAAGCCUAC